RNAcentral lists this long non-coding RNA (515 nucleotides) under Vigna radiata. Its description in RNAcentral is "long non-coding RNA (VRAD_LNC008888)". Lineage: Eukaryota; Viridiplantae; Streptophyta; Magnoliopsida; Fabales; Fabaceae. The record is from RNAcentral.
GAGCUCUCAAAAAAUUAAACAUAAAAUAUGUUUAAAGAAAACAAUGCAUUAAGUCCAACACGUGGAGCAUGUGUGCGAAAUGAAAAACUCAAAGGAAGAUAAAAUGUAAAUAACAAAAUUUCGGCGUUAAAUCCUACUUUUAACUAUACUUUUCAUUUACAAAUUCCCUUUUCACGUUUAAUCGUCAGUGUGGCUGUGUUUUCCGGCACAUUCUCGUAUUUUAACUAUACUUUUCAUUUACAAAUUCCCUUUUCACGUUUAAUCGUCAGUGUGGCUGUGUUUUCCGGCACAUUCUCGUAUUUUAACUAUACUUUUCAUUUACAAAUUCCCUUUUCACGUUUAAUCGUCAGUGUGGCUGUGUUUUCCGGCACAUUCUCGUAAAAGUCAUGUUCUUGAGACUCAUGGCUCGUGACUAUUAACACGAUAGUGAAGUUCCAACAUUUUCUGAUGAUUUGGGUCAACAGAGAGUGCAGCACGACAAUCUCUCAAUGCACUUAAGACAUCUCCCUUGUGUU